AGCAUGGUAGUGCAGUGGUUAGCGCUGAUGACUGGCAGUUAGUAGGUCCCAGGUUCAAGUCCUGGCUCUCUG
Molecule: non-coding RNA, 72 nt
Organism: Gymnothorax javanicus (giant moray)
Lineage: Eukaryota; Metazoa; Chordata; Actinopteri; Anguilliformes; Muraenidae
Source: the annotation of a GenBank genome assembly